This 76-nucleotide transfer RNA is filed under the name marine sediment metagenome. RNAcentral's name for it is "tRNA-Glu". It matches the Rfam family "tRNA". From Rfam's summary of the family: Transfer RNA (tRNA) molecules are approximately 80 nucleotides in length. The record is from RNAcentral.
AGCGCCGUAGCCUAACGGAUAGGGCACCGGAUUUUCACUUCGGUAGGUGCGGGUUCGAUUCCCGUCGGCGCUACCA